GACGAACGCUGGCGGCGUGCUUAACACAUGCAAGUCGAGCGGAAAGGCCCUGCUUUUGCGGGGUGCUCGAGUGGCGAGCGGGUGAGUAACACGUGAGUAUCCUGCCCUUGACUGUGGGAUAACUUCAGGAAACUGGGGCUAAUACCUGAUAGGAGCUCCUGCUGCAUGGGGGUGGUUGGACAGUUUCGGCGGUUGGGGAUGGACUCGCGGCUUAUCAGCUUGUUGGUGGGGUAGUGGCUUACCACGGCUUUGACGGGUAGCCGGCCUGAGAGGGUGACCGGCCACAUUGGGACUGAGAUACGGCCCAGACUCCUACGGGAGGCAGCAGUGGGGAAUAUUGCACAAUGGGCGGAAGCCUGAUGCAGCAACGCCGCGUGCGGGAUGACGGCCUUCGGGUUGUAAACCGCUUUCGCCUGUGACGAAGCGUGAGUGACGGUAAUGGGUAAAGAAGCACCGGCUAACUACGUG
This 468-nucleotide ribosomal RNA is filed under the name uncultured bacterium. RNAcentral's name for it is "partial 16S ribosomal RNA". It matches the Rfam family "Bacterial small subunit ribosomal RNA", at positions 28 to 507 of the family's 1533-position model. The record is from RNAcentral.